This 983-nucleotide unclassified non-coding RNA is filed under the name Hevea brasiliensis (rubber tree). The record is from RNAcentral. Lineage: Eukaryota; Viridiplantae; Streptophyta; Magnoliopsida; Malpighiales; Euphorbiaceae.
CUCUCUCUCUCACACACACACACGCACACCCAUAGUUGCCAAACAAUAUACACACAUCCACCUAGAUAUUAAUUAUAAAUUUUAUAUACACACGUCUACCUAUAUACAGUUUAAAAAAACAUGAAGAAGGAAUUAAAAAACUUUAACUCUCUCUCUACGUUGCAGAGAGAGAAUUUUUUCUCUUCUGGGUUGGAUUAAUAUCUCUCGAUCUAGCCGAGUUCCUCAUCGGUUCUCGUUUGCUUCCUCUGUCUACGGGUUGAGAAAGGCAUCGCUUUGUUUUUGUCUCAUCCCAGUGUUUGUUUGCUCUUUGGCCUUGGGUUUGGGAGUAUAUAUGCUUUACUUGGUGUGUUUUUGCAGAUUUGGGUUUCAUGAAAUGGGAGCUUUUCAGAGAUCUGCGUAGGAGCUUUGUUUUCUUUAGAGCAAAACCGCUAGUUGAGAUCGGUGGUCAUCAUCUUCUGGAGGGGCAAUGCAUGCUUGGGGAUAGGUAACUUGGGGUUGUUGAGCUUGCUCAAUUAGGUGGCUGUUUGCCCCUCCCCCCAAGGCUAUAUAAGAUUGAGAUGCCAUGAACUCUACCAUCUCCCCCCCCCUACUACUAUUGUGGUGGUGGUGUCUCUCCAAUGGUCUCGUACCUAGUUAGUUUGAUGUCCAAGAUAAUACUUUUGAUCAGCAGGUGUUAUCCUACUUGCUGAGGUAGUGUCAUGGUGUCAACUUACUACUUCAUUCCAUAUUCGGUAACAGCCAAAAUGGUGGCUUUGUAUAGGUUCUAUCUCCAGUAACAACCUUAAGCGGCGGCUCUGUAAAGGGUUAGGUGUUUUGCUUGAGUAGGACUCCUAGGGUUUCUUAUCUGGGUUGGGUUUUGUUUUGUGGGUUUGGCUAGAAUAGGGCUUUGGGUUUUUUGCUGGACUUGGUUUGUUAUCUUGUUCUUUUUACUGGACCUUUGUAUCUUUGCCCAUUGGGCCAUGUUUAAUGCAAUGCUAUAUUUA